UUUAUUGGGGGAUAGCCCGAAGAAAUUCGGAUUAAUACCGCAUAACACUAUUUGAGGGCAUCUGAAGAUAGUUAAAGCUGAGGCGAUAAAAGAUGGGCAUGCGUGCCAUUAGCUAGUUGGUGGUGGUAACGGCCCACCAAGGCGACGAUGGCUAGGGGUUNUGAGAGGAUGAUCCCCCACACUGGUACUGAGAUACGGACCAGACUCCUACGGGAGGCAGCAGUAGGGAAUAUUGGGCAAUGGCGGAAACGCUGACCCAGCCAUGCCGCGUGCCGGAUGAAGGCCUUCUGGGUUGUAAACGGCUUUUCUNUAGGAAGAAAAUACCCUUGCGAGGGGACCUGACGGUACUAGAGGAAUAAGCA
This 362-nucleotide ribosomal RNA is filed under the name uncultured bacterium #0319-8C3. RNAcentral's name for it is "bacterial SSU rRNA". It matches the Rfam family "Bacterial small subunit ribosomal RNA", at positions 132 to 492 of the family's 1533-position model. Lineage: Bacteria; Pseudomonadati; Bacteroidota; Sphingobacteriia; Sphingobacteriales. The record is from RNAcentral.